RNAcentral lists this ribosomal RNA (433 nucleotides) under uncultured bacterium. Its description in RNAcentral is "partial 16S ribosomal RNA". It matches the Rfam family "Bacterial small subunit ribosomal RNA", at positions 38 to 507 of the family's 1533-position model. The record is from RNAcentral.
GGGGGGGGGGGGGGGGGGGGGGGGGGGGGGCGGGGCGAGCGGGGGCGGGGGGGGUGGGGGCGGGGGGGGGCGGAGCGCGUGGGGACCUGCCCUUAGGUGCGGAAUAACUCCCGGGAGGGGGGGCUAGGACCGGAUAAUGUCUUCGGACCAAAGAUUUAUCGCCUUUGGAUGGGCCCGCGUUGGAUUAGCUAGUUGGUAGGGUAACAGCCUACCAAGGCGACGAUCCAUAGCUGGUCUGAGAGGAUGAUCAGCCACACUGGGACUGAGACGCGGCCCAGACUCCUGCGGGAGGCAGCAGUGGGGAAUAUUGGACAGUGGGCGGAAGCCUGAUCCAGCAAUGCCGCGUGAGUGAUGAAGGCCUUAGGGUUGUAAAGCGCUUUUACCCGGGAUGAUAAUGACAGUACCGGGAGAAUAAGCUCCGGCUAACUCCGUG